UUUAAAGGGGCAGCUGCAGCCCGGGGGCCGCCCCACGUGAGGCCGGUGCGCUCCCGCCUAACGCAGCCCCGAGCGCGGAGCCGCGGCCGGGAGACGGCGGCGCCGGGGCUGGGCGGGCGGGCCGAGCGGAGCGGAGCGGAGCGGCUGCCAGCCCGCCUCACGCCAAGUUUGAUCGAUAACCCCCUCCCGGCCCGGGCGGAGCAGCCUCGCCGGCUCCGCUACCCACCAUCUUUGGGGGAAGUCCCUGCGCUGGGGGGGGGCUGCUGGAGACGGGGGGGAGAAAGGCAAUCUCGCAGCCAAUGAGCCCUGCCAGGCUGGGGUGAAGAAGAGAGCAGAGGGAUUUGGGGAAGGAAAGAGGAAAAAAAAAAAAAAAAAAAGAAGAAGGGAAGAAAGGAGGGGGACCAUCCUCCCCACCACCUCCGCCAGCAUCGCCACCACCAUUGACACCGCUCCGAGUCUCCAGUUGCGCCCAUGCCUGUGCCGCCAGUUUCGGUUUAGGGGCUGAACCACAGGGGCUGAAGAAAAUGGGGCAGAGCGCGCCCCGGACCCUUCUGCUGCUGCUGGCGGGGCUGCUGGGGGAGGCUCUGGCGGGGUUCCCCAACACCAUCAGUAUAGGUGGACUUUUCAUGAGGAACACUGUUCAGGAGCACAGUGCAUUUCGAUUUGCUGUGCAGUUAUACAACACAAACCAAAAUACCACAGAAAAGCCCUUCCAUUUGAACUAUCACGUAGAUCACUUGGACUCUUCCAACAGUUUUUCAGUGACAAAUGCUUUCUGUUCACAGUUUUCCAGAGGAGUUUAUGCUAUCUUUGGAUUCUAUGACCAGAUGUCAAUGAACACACUGACGUCAUUUUGUGGAGCCCUUCAUACAUCCUUCAUCACGCCCAGCUUCCCAACAGAUGCAGAUGUGCAGUUUGUCAUCCAGAUGCGGCCGGCGUUAAAAGGAGCCAUCUUGAGUCUCUUGACGUAUUAUAAGUGGGAAAAGUUUGUGUACCUCUAUGACACAGAGCGGGGAUUUUCUAUUCUUCAGGCGAUUAUGGAAGCAGCAGUACAGAACAACUGGCAAGUGACAGCCAGAUCUGUAGGAAGCAUAAAGGAUGUUCAAGAGUUCAGAAGAAUUAUAGAGGAGAUGGACAGACGACAAGAAAAAAGAUACUUAAUUGACUGUGAAGUAGACAGAAUCAACACCAUUUUGGAACAGGUUGUAGUCCUCGGCAAACAUUCUAGAGGCUAUCACUACAUGUUAGCUAACCUGGGUUUCACAGACAUUGUUCUGGAGAGAGUAAUGCAUGGAGGUGCCAACAUUACUGGAUUCCAGAUUGUUAAUAAUGAAAACCCAAUGGUUCAACAGUUUCUACAGCGCUGGGUGAGGCUUGAUGAAAGGGAAUUCCCUGAAGCUAAAAACUCACCAUUAAAGUACACAUCUGCACUGACCCACGAUGCAGUCCUGGUCAUAGCUGAGGCUUUCCGCUACCUCCGAAGACAGCGUGUGGAUGCCUCCAGGAGAGGCAGUGCUGGAGACUGCCUGGCUAACCCUGCAGUGCCCUGGAGCCAAGGAAUUGAUAUCGAAAGAGCGCUGAAAAUGGUGCAAGUUCAAGGAAUGACAGGGAACAUCCAGUUUGACACCUAUGGGCGGAGAAUGAAUUACACAAUUGAUGUGUAUGAAAUGAAAGCUGGUGGAUCACGGAAGGCUGGUUAUUGGAAUGAAUAUGAAAGAUUUGUGCCAGCAUUAGAUCAGCUGCCCUCUAAUGACACUUCAUCAGUGGAGAACAGAACUAUAGUAGUCACUACCAUCUUGGAAUCACCAUAUGUAAUGUAUAAGAAAAACCAUGAACAACUAGAAGGGAAUGAGAGAUAUGAAGGAUAUUGUGUAGACUUAGCUUCUGAAAUAGCAAAACAUGUUGGAAUAAAAUACAAACUGUCAAUUGUUGGAGAUGGGAAAUAUGGAGCUAGGGACCCUGAGACUAAGAUAUGGAAUGGCAUGGUGGGUGAACUGGUCUAUGGGAGAGCAGAUAUAGCUGUUGCCCCCCUCACCAUAACAUUGGUGCGAGAAGAAGUCAUAGACUUUUCCAAACCCUUUAUGAGCCUGGGCAUCUCCAUCAUGAUCAAGAAGCCUCAGAAAUCUAAACCGGGCGUGUUCUCUUUCCUGGAUCCUUUGGCUUAUGAAAUUUGGAUGUGUAUAGUCUUUGCUUACAUUGGCGUCAGCGUAGUUCUUUUCCUAGUCAGCAGAUUCAGCCCUUAUGAAUGGCACUUGGAAGACAGCACUGAAGAACCACGUGACCCUCAGAAUCCUCCUGACCCUCCAAAUGAGUUUGGAAUAUUUAACAGCCUUUGGUUUUCCCUGGGUGCCUUUAUGCAGCAAGGAUGCGAUAUUUCUCCAAGAUCUCUCUCAGGGCGAAUUGUCGGAGGAGUCUGGUGGUUCUUCACUCUCAUCAUUAUCUCUUCCUACACUGCUAAUCUCGCUGCCUUCCUCACGGUGGAAAGGAUGGUUUCACCCAUAGAGAGCGCAGAGGACCUGGCUAAGCAAACCGAAAUAGCCUAUGGCACUCUGGAUUCAGGUUCAACCAAAGAAUUCUUUAGAAGGUCAAAAAUAGCUGUCUAUGAGAAAAUGUGGUCGUACAUGAAGUCGGCCGAGCCUUCGGUGUUCACCAAAACGACGGCGGACGGGGUGGCGAGGGUGCGGAAGUCCAAGGGGAAGUUUGCCUUCCUGCUGGAGUCGACCAUGAACGAGUACAUCGAGCAGCGCAAGCCCUGCGACACCAUGAAAGUUGGAGGCAACCUGGAUUCCAAGGGCUAUGGUGUAGCAACCCCCAAAGGCUCAGCAUUAAGAAAUGCUGUUAACCUGGCAGUAUUAAAACUGAAUGAGCAAGGCCUCUUGGACAAAUUGAAAAACAAAUGGUGGUACGACAAAGGAGAGUGCGGCAGCGGGGGAGGUGACUCCAAGAACUCCUGUAAACCUUGCAGUAUUGAAACUCAGUGAACAAGGCAUCUUAGACAAGCUGAAAAACAAAUGGUGGUACGAUAAGGGUGAAUGUGGAGCCAAGGACUCCGGAAGUAAGGACAAGACGAGCGCUCUGAGCCUGAGCAAUGUUGCCGGGGUGUUCUAUAUCCUGGUGGGAGGCCUGGGGCUGGCCAUGAUGGUGGCACUGAUCGAGUUCUGCUACAAGUCUCGGGCCGAGUCCAAGCGAAUGAAACUCACCAAGAACACGCAGAACUUCAAACCUGCUCCCGCCACCAACACCCAGAAUUACGCCACCUACAGAGAAGGCUACAACGUGUACGGCACAGAGAGUGUGAAAAUCUAGGGAUCCUCACCCUGACAGCUUGCAAGAGGAAAAGCAGCAGAGAAUGUGGCUACUUCAUGGAUUUGGACCACCUGAGCCAGUCGUACUCUCUCCGAGGUGUCAGGCGUGACACGCAUUGAUGAUGGUGCAAUGUACUUUUAAUAGGAAAAACUGAUUUUUUUUUCCUUCAGUGCCUUAUGGAAGACUCUGAGACUCACAACAAUGCAAACCAUCACUGAAAUAUUCUUGCUUUGCUUGAAAGAAGUAAAAGAAAAUAAGAGAGGAAAAGGAAAGAAAAAAAAAAUAAAAAAAAAAAAGAGAGAAAAAGAGAAUAAAACAAAAAAAAAAAUGAGAAAAAGGAAAAAGAAAAGGAAAGGACUGGUAACAAGGUAUUGGUAUGUGGAAAAAAAAAAAUCUUGUAAAAAAAAUCAGUGCAACAAAAGCCAUUCUUUGAUACCACUGCACAGUAACUGAACUUGUGUCCUGAAAGCAAAUCGCAGCCGGUUUCAUCAGCCACCCCAAUCGUAUCAAAUUAUGAAACUCCUCCUGACACAAAGCCUCAGAAAUCUGCUGCGUGCGAACACAGACCGGCCUGCCACUGCUUGUAUGAGCUGAUGUCAAGAUGUUUCAGUAUUUACUUACAGUGGUGUGAUUUUAAUUUUUUUUCUGGGCCACUUUGAUCUCUCCAGCUAAUUUGAGCAAUUCUGUAUAGCAGUAAAAGGUGUAACACCUGAAGAAAAGAAUCUGUGAGUGCAAACCAAUUAAGGUCAAUGACUAUGAAUCUGUAAAUCCAAAAGAAGGGAAUUUGUGGAACUGCAUGACUUGCUUCCAGAUCAGUAAAUUAAUUCCUUGACAAGGUAGCUAAAGUGUGGGCAGAAAAUAUUGCAUUCCUUUUUUGUUCUAUCAUCAGGCAUACCUACAGGUGCUUUAUUAAAGUGACAUUGGGUGGCUUUUAAAACAAAAAAAAUAAAAAAUAAAAAAAGGAAAAGCUACUUGCUCUUUAGGUUCAGACCAUAUAUCUCUUUUCUUGCUGUGCAUUUGCAUUUUAAUUCACUGUUUAAUAUCAAGAAAUGAAGCAAAGAAGGGCAGGUUAGUUUUUCCCAGGCCUGCUUCUGCUUCACCCCAGUUCUCUCCCAACUAGCACUGUGCUCAGCUAAUGCUUCUCAGUAAUGGUCCUUGUGAAACAGAAGUAAGGGAAGAGGGUAGUAACUCCAAUUAGAGCCGCAGUUCCAGAGUAAUAGUAAGCGAUCUAACAUGACUCCUGCUAGUACUGUUAUAAUAUAUCAGCUCCUGCCAACUCUUGUUUCGUGGCUCCUGGUGAGAGGAUGCUCCUGUCCCUGCCCCUCAGGGAGGAGGACACCGCCAGCUCUGCUCCAGGCAGGGGCUCGCUAUUACUCACAUCCAACAUCUUAGACAGCAGCAUUUCAGCCUUGAACCUCUGCCUGGAAACUACUUAACUUCAUCUUUAAAAAAAUAAAAAUUAAAAAAAAAAAAAAAAAAAAAAAAAAAAAAAAAAAAAGAAAGAAAAAGAAAAGGAAAAGACAAAAAAAAAAAAAAAAACACACGAAAACAAACCAACCACAAACCUUUAAACAUAUUGUCAAUCACAUGGGAAAUGUUCAAUGGAAUAUCUGCAUACUAAUUACCUCUAAUCGACAAUAUGUAUUUUCUGUAGUUUACGAUAUAGAGUUUUAUUUCAUCAGUAACAUACAAUGAAAAAGAAGCUCAUUUAAACCAGUCUGACCUUUAGGCGUUUAGUUUGCUGAUGAUAGAUUUGAACUUUUAAUAGGAUUUAAAAACAAAAAGCAAAAAAAAGAAAAAAAAAGAAAAAGAAAAGAAAGUCUCGUAAAAAAUAAGUAUUUCCAACAAA
Empidonax traillii (willow flycatcher) is the source of this 5155-nucleotide RNA transcript. It is a transcript of the gene named glutamate ionotropic receptor AMPA type subunit 3, with no coding region annotated. The record is from RefSeq and is a predicted model, not a curated record. The transcript is spliced from 17 exons. NCBI's taxonomy places the organism in Eukaryota, Metazoa, Chordata, Aves, Passeriformes, Tyrannidae.